Non-coding RNA from Electrophorus electricus (electric eel), 1399 nucleotides. The record is from RefSeq and is a predicted model, not a curated record. NCBI's taxonomy places the organism in Eukaryota, Metazoa, Chordata, Actinopteri, Gymnotiformes, Gymnotidae.
UACUCAUUCAGCCACAUCUCCUCGCGGAGAAGUGGCAACGAAUCAUCCUCUUUUCCUCAAGAUCACGCGACCGAGAGAAAAGGGUAUGCAACACAAAUGUGGGGAUCGAUGCUUGAUUUGUGCUUUCGGUAUGACAUACUAGAUUCCGGUAAGGCUUGGAGCAUGAGUCAUCGCUCCGUACUAUUGUUACAGGUACUUAUCUUUUUACUGAACUGCAAGAACGAGACGAGUAGAUGAGCGUCACAUAUCUUUGGAUAGCUACAAUCUUUUGAUAGUGUCACCCAGUGGGAGCCAUAGCGACGGACUCCAACCCAACAGACUUUAAUCCCGGGCAUGUGGACAGCCAGGACAGCCGCCACUAGGACUCCCAGUCCCUUCACGGGCUCUGACCUCAUUUCCUUCUGCAGCAGAGCCCGUAUGUUACACUAUAUCUGUCCUAUGUGGACAGGUUCCAUUUAGAGGGGCAGAGCAGAUCACGACUGUCCCAUCACCCACUUACAUAGUCUUAUAUAAUUCAUACCCACUUUAAAUUAGAGCAGCAGUGUACAGAAAUUACUGCAUUACUGUUGCUAUUGUUCUGUUUACAGUAUUAUGGGUGUGCUAAUGCAGUUGUAGGCUAAAUUCCUUUUAUGACUAUGAACUGUUUUUUUAGUUCAUUUAUGACUAUAUGAACUGUUCUUCUGCAUUAAUUCCAUAUAUGGCUAUGUGAAAUGCUACUUUGGUUCAUUGGAUCAUUUCCUGCAGAUGUGAAAGCAUCUUGUCUCUGCUUAUUUGGUCUUGGUCUGAAACAGAAGUGUGGCUUCAGUGCGUCUGACAGUUUCACUGAUAUUUCUGUAAUGCAAAGUUUUGCAAUUCUGCAAAGCCAGCAUCUUCCCUGGAUAAUAUCUUUCUCAAAAUGGCAUACAUUCCAGAAAAAGAAUUACCAAUGGACCGAGUCCCGCAGUGUAAGGAGCAGGACGCUCAGUCUCCCUCGACGGUAACAGACGUUUAAUGGGAAACACGGAAGACAUGGACAUUCACAUAAAUGGGGAAAGAGAAACACAUGACGUACGUAUACAUGUUCAAUGACUGACAAAACUGCAUGCACCAACAUCAGUUUAAAUAAACACAAAAAAUACACACUAAACCGUCUGCAGGUGUGCGCAGACACCAGAGGCUACAAACACAAACAAUUACACUGAGUUCCCACUGCACACGGCCUCUAAAAACAAAAUUGAGUAAUCAUUUGACCAAGAUAUUGUAGUGGGUCCUUAAACACAGUCAGCACCCAUUAUAAAGGACUGAAUUUUGAAAUAAAAUAUAUUACAGGAACAUUUUUUUCAAAAUAAUUAUUUCUAUAAACACAACCACACACAUGUAUGGCAUUAAUUACUAUAGUCUGGAUACAUAUUUGUAGAAA